GCCGGGGUGGCGAAACUGGUCAGACGCGCCUGACUUAAAAUCAGGUGUCCCCCGUGGGGCGUGCGGGUUCGAGUCCCGCCCCCGGCA
RNAcentral lists this transfer RNA (87 nucleotides) under Actinomycetes bacterium. RNAcentral describes it as "Actinobacteria bacterium tRNA-Leu". It matches the Rfam family "tRNA". Rfam says of the family: Transfer RNA (tRNA) molecules are approximately 80 nucleotides in length. Their secondary structure includes four short double-helical elements and three loops (D, anti-codon, and T loops). RNAcentral also lists the same sequence under 1 other name. The record is from RNAcentral. Lineage: Bacteria; Bacillati; Actinomycetota; Actinomycetes.